This is a long non-coding RNA of Acipenser ruthenus (sterlet), 2173 nucleotides long. RefSeq lists it as uncharacterized. Lineage: Eukaryota; Metazoa; Chordata; Actinopteri; Acipenseriformes; Acipenseridae. The transcript has 7 exons. The record is from RefSeq and is a predicted model, not a curated record.
GAGGCACGAGAGAAGGCCUCUAGCUGUGAAGCAGUGAAAGAGCCCAGAGUGAGUCUGAAGAGAAUGAGAGUGCGUGAGAAGAAAGGAGAGUUCAUGUGAGGGAGAGUGAGAUGAAGACCGUGAAGUGAGAGGGCAGGAACUUUUUAUUAUUUUGGAGUGAACCCCGGCCCCAGACAGGGAUUCGCUGUCCUGUCAGUUUGUUUGGAAUACCAUCUGGUCUCCCUGAGUCUUACUUCACUGACGACGCGAGGAUCGUUACAAUACUUUAAACCCACCCCAACUACUGGAUGGCUGCGCAUUCCUACAUUUCCAUUGGUGACUCCGCUUGCAAGAUUUAAAACGAGAUUACAAGGAGGCUUGUUCGCGGGAUUUAAAGCUGUAUUACAGUUAAAAUACAGAGGAUUUAAAACAGAAAGUUCAAAUUGUGGCGAAAUGUAAAAAAACUAAAAAAAUGCCUGGACACAAAACCCCAGAAGAAUGUGCCGUGACCAGAAGGAUUUCAUUGUGGAAGACAGCAAAGGAAAGAAGUGCUGACUGUAGUGAGCUGCUCCAGACAGUAUGAAGAACGACCCCAGGCUGUCCUGACCCGGGAGCCUGCAUGGAAACAGAUAUACGAAUCAGAGAGUGUCAGGUUCAGGGGGGUUACACUGACUGGAGAUUCACAUGGUACAAAGCUGGGAGGAAUGCUCCAGUAACCCAGGAUUACUACAGCAGUAUAGAUGGUGACAGAUUCACAAUUAGCUCUGCUACUGGAGACCACAGUGGGGAAUAUACCUGUAAAGGUGAAAGGAGAGGUAACCCAUCGUACUCUAAAACAAGCGAUGCUCUUACACUGAUAGUAUCAGCUCUGUUCUGCAGGGUGACUCUGACAGCAUCUCCAGGAGCCACAGUGAAGGAGGGAGAGGCUCUUAACCUGACCUGUGAGGAAGCAGUGAACAACCCCCCCCCCGCCCUGAACUCCACUACACCAUUGUGAGAGACGGGGAGCCUGUGACUAACAGCACUGACUCUGCACUGUACAGCAUAGCCAGCACUGAGAAGAGCCACACUGGGAGCUACACGUGUGCUGUGGAGUCACCGGGAGUGAAGAAGAGCAGCCAGGAACUACACAUUGAAGUGCAAACGUCCUGGCACAGCGCUGUUGCUAUUGGCUACAGAGUGAGCUUCUCUCUGAUUCAUUUCAUUGUGUUCACUCUGCUGCUCCUUCAAUACUGCAGGAUCCAAGGUUCCCCGUGUCUCGCUGGUGGUAAGUCAAGGAAAACCUCGGAUCAGGAUCAGGAGCAGUCAGCAGAGGGGAUUGAGCUCUCCAGCCAUGUGCAGCACACUGGAGUGGAACUGGAAUAGUGCUGCAUUACCAGAGACUGGAGUGGAACUGGAAUAGUGCUGCAUUACCAUAGACUGGAGUGGAACUUCGUGUACCAGCAGAGAAAUAAGUGGCCCAAGCGAUUUAAUCCCUUAAAUGCAGUGCUUUGCAAGUUUGAGAAUUGCAUUUCACACUUAGACUGAAUAUGAAGUGAAUAAGAAGCCAACUUCAGCCACAUCAAAUAAUAAAUAAUGAAGUUUUUAGAUCUUAUCAGUAAAAAAGAAAAUUAAAGGUGUGUAAAAUAUUACAACUUUUGUGCUGCAGAAUUUGGUCCCCCAUUAAAUAAUAGAUAAAAAAGUAUACACAUUAAGCAAGUGUCUAGUUCUGAUUCCUUUGAUACACAGCUAAUUAACUCACCCCAAUAUUAAAGUUUCACCCCCACUAGUAUGCUUGAUUUCUGCACAUUAACCAUGAUUUACUCAUUAUAUAUGCUAAUUUAGAUAUUGUUAGAUUGAGAAGCUAUCUUGUGUAUUGCUUACAAAAAGCUUUCUGGUAGACUAAAUGUAUUAUGCCAUAUGCUUAAAUGUGGUAUCCUCUAAACAUUUGUAAUCUAAUACUGGAAUGCAAUUGUAUUUAGAAACUAUGGCAGGGGAUACAAAUUUUUCAGCUUCUCUGCACUGUGAAAAGCAAAACAUGAUUUAAUCUCAGCAUUACUUUAGUUCUUUCUGCUUUACAUUUUGUAUGUUUCCCAAAUGAAAUUUGGCAUCGCCUGUCAGUUUAAUUUUACCUUUGAGAAGAUGGGAUGACAAAUAUUACAGUAUACCAGCCAUAAUAUGUGGCAUCCCCCUUUGAGAACACAGGGGAUGCCAA